Molecule: ribosomal RNA, 452 nt
Filed under: uncultured bacterium
Lineage: Bacteria
Description: bacterial SSU rRNA
Rfam family: Bacterial small subunit ribosomal RNA
Source: RNAcentral
AACGAACGCUGGCGGCAUGCCUAACACAUGCAAGUCGAACGAGACCUUCGGGUCUAGUGGCGCACGGGUGCGUAACGCGUGGGAAUCUGCCCUUGGGUUCGGAAUAACAGCGAGAAAUUGCUGCUAAUACCGGAUGAUGACGUAAGUCCAAAGAUUUAUCGCCCAAGGAUGAGCCCGCGUAGGAUUAGCUAGUUGGUGAGGUAAAGGCUCACCAAGGCGACGAUCCUUAGCUGGUCUGAGAGGAUGAUCAGCCACACUGGGACUGAGACACGGCCCAGACUCCUACGGGAGGCAGCAGUGGGGAAUAUUGGACAAUGGGCGAAAGCCUGAUCCAGCAAUGCCGCGUGAGUGAUGAAGGCCUUAGGGUUGUAAAGCUCUUUUACCCGGGAUGAUAAUGACAGUACCGGGAGGAAUAAGCUCCGGGCUAACUCCGUGCCAGCAGCCGCGGUAAU